Molecule: ribosomal RNA, 492 nt
Filed under: uncultured bacterium
Lineage: Bacteria
Description: partial 16S ribosomal RNA
Rfam family: Bacterial small subunit ribosomal RNA
Source: RNAcentral
AGUGAACGCUGGCGGUAGGCCUAACACAUGCAAGUCGAACGGCAGCACAGUAAGAGCUUGCUCUUAUGGGUGGCUGGUGGCGGACGAGUAAGGAAUACAACGGAAUCUACUUUUACGUGGGGGAUACCGUAGGGAAACUUACGCUAGUACCGCAUACGACCUACGGCUGAAAGCAGGGGAUCUUCGGACCUUGCGCGAUUGGAUGAGCCGAUGUAGGAUUAGCUAGUUGGCGGGGUAAAGGCCAACCAAGGCGACGAUCCGUAGCUGGUCUGAGAGGAUGAUCAGGCACACUGGCACGAAGCGUAGCCCCAGACUCCUACGGCAGGCAGCAGUCGGGAAUAUUGGACCAUGCUCGCAAGCUUUAUCCAGCCCUACCGCGUGGGUGAAGAAGGCCUUCGGGUUGUAAAGCCCUCUUGUUGGGAAAGAAAAGCAGCAGGCUAACACCCCCCUGUGCUGCCGGUACCCAAAGAAUAAGCACCGGCUAACUUCGUG